This 254-nucleotide ribosomal RNA is filed under the name uncultured prokaryote. RNAcentral describes it as "partial 16S ribosomal RNA". It matches the Rfam family "Bacterial small subunit ribosomal RNA", at positions 524 to 777 of the family's 1533-position model. The record is from RNAcentral.
UACGGAGGAUGCAAGCGUUAUCCGGAUUUAUUGGGUUUAAAGGGUGCGCAGGUUGUUUGAUAAGUCAGUGGUGAAAGUCUGUCGCUUAACGGUAGGAUUGCCAUUGAUACUGUUAGACUUGAAUAUGGAUGAGGUAGGCGGAAUGUGUAGCGUAGCGGUGAAAUGCAUAGAUAUUACACAGAACACCGAUUGCGAAGGCAGCUUACUAAUCCAUCAUUGACGCUGAGGCACGAAAGCGUGGGGAUCAAACAGGA